UACGUAGGGUGCGAGCGUUGUCCGGAAUUAUUGGGCGUAAAGAGCUCGUAGGCGGCUUGUCGCGUCGGAUGUGAAAGCCUGGGGCUUAACUCCGGGUCUGCAUUCGAUACGGGCAGGCUAGAGUUCGGUAGGGGAGAUCGGAAUUCCUGGUGUAGCGGUGAAAUGCGCAGAUAUCAGGAGGAACACCGGUGGCGAAGGCGGGUCUCUGGGCCGUAACUGACGCUGAGGAGCGAAAGCGUGGGGAGCGAACAGG
Molecule: ribosomal RNA, 253 nt
Filed under: uncultured bacterium
Lineage: Bacteria
Description: partial 16S ribosomal RNA
Rfam family: Bacterial small subunit ribosomal RNA
Source: RNAcentral